UUUAUGACAUGUGUUUCAUGCCCAGGCAAAUAGUUAUGAUUCAUAAUGGCUGACAAGAGGUAAACAAGUGAUAGUUCUGGACCAACCACAAGGAGACAAAGGAAACAUAGAAAUGAAAAUCUGCUUUCUGUGGUAGCAGCUAACAUUGCCUUUAAGGGCAUAGUAGUAGGAGUACAGAGUUCAGAUCAGCAGGAAGUAGGGAUUAAGGGAAAUCCUUGGACAUUCUCAAAGACCUCAUAAACAUCACUCUAGCUUGGGAGGGUUGGCCAACAGUGUAUGAAGAGUGGCUGUAAAAAUACUCAUAGAAGCCGAUAAAGCUUUCAGACUUUGUCCUACGCAGUGAGCCACUGUCCCAGAUGAAUCCGUAAUGGCCACUCUCAGCAGAGCUCUGAGAAUCUACCAGAUGACACUUCACCAAUUGUAGGGAGAAGACAGAGGAGCCUGAGGGUAUCAGGGAGGUUCAGAGUGAGAAGAGUAUGGUAUUUUCCUUUGAGAACAGGGCUUCAGAUGCCAGCUUUGCACCUGGAUAAGCUGUGGCAUCUCAGGAAAGUGACUUCACCUCUCCAAAUAUUAUUCUCCUCAUUUGUAUUGUUAAAGAGGGGUGAGAAGGUUACAUGUCAAGCUGAGAGAUAAAAGGAGGCCAAUAAACGUUAGUCUUCCUUACAAGACCCAACAUCAACCCUCUAAGAUGUUAACAAGAGUCUUUUAAGGUCACAAUCCUUUCCUACAGUGAAGCCUAAAAAGUUUUCCAGAAGAAAUUCACCUCUGCCCUUAAAGACGUGGGAACAAUUCAGGUCUCUGGUUGUCAAAAGAAAACAUGCAAAUACUGGA
Neofelis nebulosa (Clouded leopard) is the source of this 831-nucleotide long non-coding RNA. RefSeq lists it as uncharacterized. The record is from RefSeq and is a predicted model, not a curated record. NCBI's taxonomy places the organism in Eukaryota, Metazoa, Chordata, Mammalia, Carnivora, Felidae. The transcript is spliced from 2 exons.